CGCGUAGGCGGACCUGCAAGUGAGAUGUGAAAUACCCGGGCUUAACCUGGGAACGGCAUCUUAAACUGCGGGUCUGGAGUACUGUAGAGGAUAGUGGAAUUUCCGGUGUAGCGGUGAAAUGCGUAGAGAUCGGAAGGAACAUCAGUGGCGAAGGCGACUGUCUGGACAGAUACUGACGCUGAGGCGCGAAAGCGUGGGGAGCAAACAGGAUUAGAUACCCUGGUAGUCCACGCUGUAAACGAUGAGAACUAGAUGUUGGUGGGCCUGGCCCAUUAGUAUCGAAGCUAACGCGAUAAGUUCUCCGCCUGGGGAGUACGGCCGCAAGGUUAAA
Molecule: ribosomal RNA, 331 nt
Filed under: uncultured Pseudomonadota bacterium
Lineage: Bacteria; Pseudomonadati; Pseudomonadota
Description: bacterial SSU rRNA
Rfam family: Bacterial small subunit ribosomal RNA
Source: RNAcentral